GUACCCUUAGCUCAGUUGAUUAGAGCAGACGGCUCAUAACCGUCCGGUCGAUGGUUCGAGUCCUACGGGGUAUA
This 74-nucleotide transfer RNA is filed under the name Enterococcus faecium. Its description in RNAcentral is "tRNA-Ile". It matches the Rfam family "tRNA". From Rfam's summary of the family: Transfer RNA (tRNA) molecules are approximately 80 nucleotides in length. Their secondary structure includes four short double-helical elements and three loops (D, anti-codon, and T loops). The record is from RNAcentral. Lineage: Bacteria; Bacillati; Bacillota; Bacilli; Lactobacillales; Enterococcaceae.